Molecule: ribosomal RNA, 550 nt
Filed under: Staphylococcus aureus
Lineage: Bacteria; Bacillati; Bacillota; Bacilli; Caryophanales; Staphylococcaceae
Description: partial 23S ribosomal RNA
Rfam family: Bacterial large subunit ribosomal RNA
Source: RNAcentral
ACGAUAUGCUUUGGGGAGCUGUAAGUAAGCUUUGAUCCAGAGAUUUCCGAAUGGGGAAACCCAGCAUGAGUUAUGUCAUGUUAUCGAUAUGUGAAUACAUAGCAUAUCAGAAGGCACACCCGGAGAACUGAAACAUCUUAGUACCCGGAGGAAGAGAAAGAAAAUUCGAUUCCCUUAGUAGCGGCGAGCGAAACGGGAAGAGCCCAAACCAACAAGCUUGCUUGUUGGGGUUGUAGGACACUCUAUACGGAGUUACAAAGGACGACAUUAGACGAAUCAUCUGGAAAGAUGAAUCAAAGAAGGUAAUAAUCCUGUAGUCGAAAAUGUUGUCUCUCUUGAGUGGAUCCUGAGUACGACGGAGCACGUGAAAUUCCGUCGGAAUCUGGGAGGACCAUCUCCUAAGGCUAAAUACUCUCUAGUGACCGAUAGUGAACCAGUACCGUGAGGGAAAGGUGAAAAGCACCCCGGAAGGGGAGUGAAAUAGAACCUGAAACCGUGUGCUUACAAGUAGUCAGAGCCCGUUAAUGGGUGAUGGCGUGCCUUUUGUAGA